This 484-nucleotide ribosomal RNA is filed under the name uncultured bacterium. RNAcentral's name for it is "partial 16S ribosomal RNA". It matches the Rfam family "Bacterial small subunit ribosomal RNA", at positions 30 to 507 of the family's 1533-position model. The record is from RNAcentral.
AUUGAACGCUGGCGGCAGGCCUAACACAUGCAAGUCGAGCGGAGGAAGGGAGCUUGCUCCUGGAUUCAGCGGCGGACGGGUGAGUAAUGCCUAGGAAUCUGCCUGGUAGUGGGGGAUAACGUCCGGAAACGGGCGCUAAUACCGCAUACGGCCUGAGGGAGAAAGUGGGGGAUCUUCGGACCUCACGCUAUCAGACGAGCCUAGGUCGGAUUAGCUAGUUGGUGGGGUAAAGGCCUACCAAGGCGACGAUCCGUAACUGGUCUGAGAGGAUGAUCAGUCACACUGGAACUGAGACACGGUCCAGACUCCUACGGGAGGCAGCAGUGGGGAAUAUUGGACAAUGGGCGAAAGCCUGAUCCAGCCAUGCCGCGUGUGUGAAGAAGGUCUUCGGAUUGUAAAGCACUUUAAGUUGGGAGGAAGGGCAGUAAGUUAAUACCUUGCUGUUUUGACGUUACCAACAGAAUAAGCACCGGCUAACUUCGUG